This is a long non-coding RNA of Egretta garzetta (little egret), 406 nucleotides long. RefSeq lists it as uncharacterized. NCBI's taxonomy places the organism in Eukaryota, Metazoa, Chordata, Aves, Pelecaniformes, Ardeidae. The record is from RefSeq and is a predicted model, not a curated record. The transcript is spliced from 3 exons.
GGCAUUCUAGGAUACAGUCGCCCCACACUGUACACGUGACCUGUGCUCCUAGCUCCUAACUUGUGCUCCUUCCAAGUAAGAAGGAAACCGGUGGGUGAGCAAACAGGAACUCCCCUUCGCUUUUCUGAGGGCAAACGCACCCUGGGGCUGCUACUGCACAGAACAAAGCACCAGAGAUGAUUUACAGGCUCAGCUGCUAACUAAUCCACAGAGCUUCCUCACACCUGCCUAACCCCCUGCAGGCCUUCAAAGCAGGACCAUAUACUGCAACAAAGAAAAGCUUAAUGGCGAGGAUCCUCUCCUCACAGUCACAUCUAAACUCGUUAAGUAGGUCCAGACCAUGUUCUGCAUGCACAGCUGCCGCAGGAGUUGCGAGGCCUGGAGAGGAAAUCGCACAAGAAGUGAG